GGGUCAGUAGGUUGGUCGUGCCACCGGUACGUACUGGUCUCACUGAUUCCUCCUUCCUGAAGGACCGUAAUGCCAUUAAUUUGGUGUUGCGGGGAAACAGGACUGUUACUUUGAAAAAAUUAGAGUGUUUAAAGCAAGCUAACGCUUGAAUACAUUAGCAUGGAACGAUGAAAUAGGACGAUCGAUCCUAUUUUGUUGGUUUCUAGGAUUGACGUA
This 216-nucleotide ribosomal RNA is filed under the name Glomeromycotina sp. RNAcentral's name for it is "partial small subunit ribosomal RNA". The stretch from base 40 to 216 matches the Rfam family "Eukaryotic small subunit ribosomal RNA", at positions 686 to 864 of the family's 1831-position model. Lineage: Eukaryota; Fungi; Glomeromycota. The record is from RNAcentral.